RNAcentral lists this long non-coding RNA (401 nucleotides) under Homo sapiens (human). RNAcentral's name for it is "HSALNT0317975". The record is from RNAcentral. Lineage: Eukaryota; Metazoa; Chordata; Mammalia; Primates; Hominidae.
GUCCGGAGACAGCGUGGCACCAACCCAGCUGUGUGUGCUUUGGAGCUGGAUACUCCUAAACACGUUUGGGUUUGAACUCCAGCUCUGAUCCUGCCAGCGAGGAGCCUUAGAGCAAGUGACUUAACCUUCUGGGCCUCAGUUUCCCUCAUCUGAAAAUGGGCGUGAUCAAGUCACCUCCCAGGGAUAUUUUCGAGGAUGAGAGGGGCCUAUGUGACAACUUCCCUGGCAUCCAUACCUCCACAGCCCAGAGUGGGGUCUCCGGGAUGUGAGCUGUACCCAGGCCUAACUUACGUCCGGACUGACCAGCACGCCUUCAGAAAGACUCUCAGGUUUACAGUACACGAGAGUGCACAGCUCUCCAAGACAUUCCAAGCAAUGUUACUUCAUCGACUUAUGGAAAU